CUUUUUGAGAUUAAUAAAAAGUCGUGCCUGCCCACUGAUUUCAUUGAAGGGCCGCGGUAUUUUGACCGUGCAAAGGUAGCAUAAUCAUUAGUCUUUUAAUUGGGGACUGGAAUGAAUGGUUUGACGAAACAUUGGCUGUCUUAAAAAUAUAAUUUUGAAUUUAACUUUUAAGUUAAAAGGCUUAAAUAAUAAAUAGGGACGAGAAGACCCUAUAGAUCUUUAUUUUUAAUUAUUAAUUAUGUAGUUUGGUUUUAUUUAUAUAUUAUUAAUUAAAUAUUUUGUUGGGGUGACGGAAGAAUAGUAAAACUUCUUUUUUAUUAAGCUUGGAUUUGAGGUUGUGGGAUCCUUUAUUAUGGAUUUAAGAUUAAGAUACCUUAGGGAUAACAGCGUAAUUUUGUUUGAGAGUUCUUAUCGACAACGAAGAUUGCGACCUCGAUGUUGGAUUAAGAUUAUAUAUUGGUGAAGAAGUUAAUGUUAUUAGUCUGUUC
This 488-nucleotide ribosomal RNA is filed under the name Lernecella sp. n. GDE. Its description in RNAcentral is "partial 16S ribosomal RNA". It matches the Rfam family "Bacterial large subunit ribosomal RNA", at positions 1832 to 2582 of the family's 2925-position model. Lineage: Eukaryota; Metazoa; Arthropoda; Insecta; Orthoptera; Phalangopsidae. The record is from RNAcentral.